This 363-nucleotide ribosomal RNA is filed under the name Triticum aestivum (bread wheat). Its description in RNAcentral is "partial small subunit ribosomal RNA". Lineage: Eukaryota; Viridiplantae; Streptophyta; Magnoliopsida; Poales; Poaceae. The record is from RNAcentral.
AUGUUAUAUAUGCCAAGUUCCUUAAGCAUAGACUUCACCCAAAUAAUUUCUGCUGUUGCAUUGGCAAGUGCUUUGUAUUCUGCUUCAGUACUAGAUCUGGAAACUGUGGCUUGUUUCUUUGCACACCAAGAAAUCAAGUUGGGACCAAAGAACACUGCAAAGCCAUCAGUUGAUCUUCUAUCAUCCAAGCAACCUACCCAGUCAGAAUCAGAGAAGGCACUAACAAGAGGGGAUGGUGACUUACUGAAGGUUAGACCAACACAUAUCUCAGUAUACGUUUGGCUGCCGUCCAAUGAGCAGUGGUUGGUGCAUGAAGAUACUGACAAACCUUGUUUACUGCAAAGGAGAUAUCAGGUCUGGUGA